This 689-nucleotide ribosomal RNA is filed under the name uncultured archaeon. RNAcentral's name for it is "bacterial SSU rRNA". It matches the Rfam family "Archaeal small subunit ribosomal RNA", at positions 206 to 899 of the family's 1478-position model. The record is from RNAcentral.
AGGAUGGGACUGCGGCUGAUUAGGUUGUUGGUGAGGUAAUGGCUCACCAAGCCUAUAAUCAGUAGGGGCUAUGUGAGUAGGAGCCCCGAGACGGGCACUGAGACAAGGGCCCGAGCCCUACGGGGUGCAGCAGGCGCGAAAUUUCCGCAAUGCGCGAAAGCGUGACGGGGGCAGUCUGAGUGCCAUCCUAACGGAUGGCUUUUCUCGAGUUUUAAUUGCUCGGGGAAUAAGUGGUGGGCAAAACUCGUGCCAGCCGCCGCGGUAAUACGAGUAGCACUAGUGGUAUCCACGAAUAUUGAGCUUAAAGCGCCCGUAGCCGGCUCGGUCAGUUCCUUGUGAAAUCUGUCGACUUAAUCGACAGGCUUGCAGGGAAUACUACCGGGCUCGGGAGUGGGGGAGGCAAGAGGUACUCUAGGGGGAGCGGUAAAAUGCUUUAAUCCUUAGAGGACCAACAGUGGCGAAGGCGUCUUGCCAAAACACGUCCGACGGUGAGGGACGAAGGCUAGGGGAGCGAACGGGAUUAGAUACCCCGGUAGUCCUAGCAGUAAAUGAUGCAGACUUGGCGUUGCGGUCACCACGAGUGACCGCAGUGCCGUAGGGAAACCGUUUAGUCUGCCGCUUGGGGAGUACGAUCGCAAGAUUGAAACUUAAAGGAUUGGCGGGGGAGCACCACAAGGGUGGAUGCUGCG